UUUGUACUCCCUCCGUUCAGAAUUACUUGUCGUAGAAAUGGAUGUAUCUAGAUGUAUUUUAGUUCUAGAUACAUCCAUUUCUGAGAAAAGUAAUUCCGAACGGAGGGAGUACUUU
Triticum urartu is the source of this 115-nucleotide non-coding RNA. Lineage: Eukaryota; Viridiplantae; Streptophyta; Magnoliopsida; Poales; Poaceae. The record is from Rfam.